AAAGACAAAGUAGACCAGUUAUCACAAAUACCGUUAAUUAUAUGAUAUCGCGUGACAGCUGAUUUCUAGUGUCUUUGCUUUACUCAUCCCCUUGCCAACCCAGCACGGCAAAUCGAUUGCCACCGUAUCAUCCGUGUACAUUUUAUUGUAAGUCGGUGAGUCAAUUGCUUUUUGCGUUUUUUUUUUUUUGUAACAAGAGCUUUAAUUUUUUUAUUGAUUAAAUGAUAAAUUGUUUAACCAUUGUACGUCAUAUUUUAGCUUCGAUGCGAAGCUGAGAAGGUAUUAGUUUUACUAUGCAUUUUUUUUUUUUUUUGCCUAUUACCACUUUUUCUCAGCUCUCACCCAAUCGAUUUCUUUCAACGAUAACGAACAAAAGUCGUAUCUAGUCGAAGACAUUACCCUCAACAAUUGAAAAAAUUUUCCUCGUUCCCGGUAAAUGGGGGAAAACCUCCAAAAAAAAUUACAAAUUUAAAAAUCGAUAAUUUUUGAAAUUUUUUUUUCUUAAAACUGCCAUAACUUUUUCAAAAAUGAACAAAUCAACAUAACUUCUUUUUUUAGAUGCAUGAUGUCUUUACCUAUUAUUUGAUAUAUUUCUUUUUUAAUCUGACCUUUUACCUGCCCACAGGUUAUAUUUAUAUCUCUUUUUCAUUCGAUAUACUUUAUCUUAAUCAUGAUAUUAAUAAGGAAAUAGCAGAUCAUGUAGCUUUUGGAAUAAUCCACCAAUUUUUUAAAAUUAAACACAAUCUAAAGAUUUGCAUCGAAGCGUUAUUUUUGAUAGUGAUUUUAAUCACUGUCAGUUAUCAUUAUACUUGACCUAACUAUGCCACGUCAUCACAGUGCCACGACCCCCCUGUGCUGAGUUUUUAUUUUUUUAUAUUACUAUGGAAAAAAAUUUCCAAAAUUAUCGAUUUCUAAAAUUGUAAUUUUUUGGGAAAUUGUCCCCAUUUACGAGGAAUGAGGGAAUUUUUUCAAUUUUUGAAGUUAAUGUCUUCGAUUAGAUACAAUUUAACGUAUUGAUCAUCAAAAUAGGUUCAGUGAAAGCUGAUAUUGAGUGGUAAUAGACACAUAAAAAAAACACAUCAUAGUAAUAUUAAUACCUAUUCACCUUUACAUCGAAGCUUAAACUCAUCAGAUUAAGAAUAUGACUGAUUCAUAGUAACGUUUGGACCAAUAUUUCAAAAGUUAUUGACAUUUUUGUAACUAAGCGGAAAAAGAAGCGAAAAUGAAUAAUGUUCAAUAAUAAAAAUAUCAAAUCUCGCGCACCAUCUCCUCUCAUGAUUUUAUGUUAUUAAUUGAAGCUAUACCGAUAUAAAAAUUAUUUCUAGCAUUGGUGUAUGUCGGAAACGGAACAGAACGCAUUCUCCGUAAUCCAUAUUCGGUGGUGGCCUUGUCACGGUGUCAAGGGCGGGGAGACACCCGAUGACAACUGAUUGUCAUUUAAAUAGCUGGACGGCUGAUAUCGAGAGAGACACGGUUGUGCGUCAGCCUAGAGCGUAAGGCGGUGCCGUGCCAAUACAAUCCUAAUAUUCUAACAAUGAAAUGACUCUGAAAGAAGUUUUACUUCAUCAGCGUGGACUCUUAAUACGUACUAGUAUUUGUUUUAGACUUCAGACGCAUUACCUGAGCUACACAAAGAUAUGAUCAACGUGUAUAAAAAUCAAAUAUUGGUUCAAUAUCAAGUUUAAGCAACAUGAUUCUAAAAUUUGUUAUAUAAGGAAGUUAAAUUCUCAUGCAACGAUAUUCAAGAAAAUAAAUGAAAAAUUGGUGAUAGUACAAUUUGCAGUUAUUGAGAACUUAUAGAUUACAUGACUCGUGUUGAAAUAGCACCAACUACACCAAAAACAUAGCGCUCAAAACAAUUUGUUUCCAAACAAUGUUUCCAAUGAGAAAUGGGAGGUUUUUAUUAUCAAGCAAGAAAAACUACGAGAGACAAAAACUGAUUAUAAAAAAUCAAUUACAGCAGCACGAAUGAUGAUUCAAUGUUAUACCCGUUAUUUACAAUUACGGGUAAAAUUGUUGAGACAACAAAUGGAAACAAAGAGAUUGACCAAAAAGUUCAAUAUUAUGAUAACAAUAUUAUUAUAAAAUCAAUGUAUAAUCUAUCGCUUGUUGAGUUACAAAUCGAGUUUGAUAGAAAAUAUGUAGGAACAAUAUUAUUGUGUAUAAUUUGAGUAUUUGUUUUGACGGCAAGUAAAGGAGGAGCUGCUUUCUUUUGAAAUGGACAUAAAAUUUUUAUUUUAUUUUAGCUUCUAUGCAUAGCUGAAAUGGUCAAUAUUAUUUAAAAUUUUACUAGAAAAUCAUUAACCGUAUCUAGUCAAAGGUUUUAGCAUCACAAUUCGAAAGAAUUCUCUCAAUCAUCGAACAUAUGGUAAAAACCCUCGACAAUUAAGUCAUAUAAAUAAGUUAGAUCGAAAUCAAGUUUAUUAUACUUUUUACAAUUAUGUAAUUCAAAACGAUUUUUUUUUUUAACAUAUUAUGAAUUUAUAGUAAAGCAACAUCAAAACAAGAACCAAUUGAACUGAAAAUAAUAACGUUAAGACGGCUUCUUAAUGUUUUUGAAAUGCAUAAUGUUGACAAAUAUUUUUUUUAACUAAUAUAUAUUUUAGAUGAAUUUUAGAAAUGAGAAAAUAAAUUUAAAAAAUAGAAUAUUUUAUUAGUAUAUUACCAUAAUAAAGAAUAAA
Daktulosphaira vitifoliae (grape phylloxera) is the source of this 2681-nucleotide long non-coding RNA. RefSeq lists it as uncharacterized. Lineage: Eukaryota; Metazoa; Arthropoda; Insecta; Hemiptera; Phylloxeridae. The transcript has 7 exons. The record is from RefSeq and is a predicted model, not a curated record.